Molecule: ribosomal RNA, 285 nt
Filed under: uncultured beta proteobacterium
Lineage: Bacteria; Pseudomonadati; Pseudomonadota; Betaproteobacteria
Description: partial 16S ribosomal RNA
Rfam family: Bacterial small subunit ribosomal RNA
Source: RNAcentral
UCAAGUCCUCAUGGCCCUUAUGGGUAGGGCUUCACACGUCAUACAAUGGUACAUACAGAGGGCCGCCAACCCGCGAGGGGGAGCUAAUCCCAGAAAGUGUAUCGUAGUCCGGAUUGGAGUCUGCAACUCGACUCCAUGAAGUUGGAAUCGCUAGUAAUCGCGGAUCAGCAUGUCGCGGUGAAUACGUUCCCGGGUCUUGUACACACCGCCCGUCACACCAUGGGAGCGGGUUUUACCAGAAGUAGGUAGCUUAACCGCAAGGAGGGCGCUUACCACGGUAGGAUU